UCGCCUACGGGAGGCAGCAGUGAGGAAUAUUGGUCAAUGGCCGGAAGGCUGAACCAGCCAAGCCGCGUGAAGGACGAAGGUGCCAAGCAUUGUAAACUUCUUUUGUCAAGGGACAAAAUCAGGCUCGAGAGCCUGACCGAGGGUACUUGAAGAAAAAGCAUCGGCUAACUCCGUGCCAGCAGCCGCGGUAAUACGUAGGGAGCGAGCGUUGUCCGGAAUUACUGGGUGUAAAGGGAGCGUAGGCGGGCGAGAAAGUUGAAUGUUAAAUCUACCGGCUUAACUGGUAGCUGCGUUCAAAACUUCUU
Molecule: ribosomal RNA, 305 nt
Filed under: uncultured bacterium
Lineage: Bacteria
Description: bacterial SSU rRNA
Rfam family: Bacterial small subunit ribosomal RNA
Source: RNAcentral